Molecule: long non-coding RNA, 223 nt
Filed under: Ananas comosus (pineapple)
Lineage: Eukaryota; Viridiplantae; Streptophyta; Magnoliopsida; Poales; Bromeliaceae
Description: long non-coding RNA (ACOM_LNC027815)
Source: RNAcentral
CUAUUUUCCUAUAGUCCAACCAGCCUAAGGUUUAUUAGGUCCACUAAGACUCAACCCUAGGCUCUGAUACCAAACUAAUCUGUCACGCCCUGAGACCCAGCGGAAGCCCGCCAGACGCGUGUCCAGACCGGCCAUACGUCUAAAACAUAUAAGGCGUCUAAAACAAAACGAUAAAUGAGACAAUAAAAGAAAUAACUAGAAGUAUCAGAGCAAUAUACAACAU